UCAAGCUAAUAAGGGCGCAAGGGGGAUGCCUUGGCAUUGGUAGCCGAUGAAGGACGUAGCGAUCUACGAUAAGCCACGGGAAGUCGAAAGCAGGCAAUGAUCCGUGGAUUUCCGAAUGGGGAAACCCGGCAGAGCAAUACUCUGUCAACUCCUUGUGAAUAAAAUAGCAUUGAGUAGGGAACCUCCUGAACUGAAACAUCUAAGUAGGGAGAGGAAAAGAAAUCAACCGAGAUUCCGCUAGUAGUGGCGAGCGAACGCGGAAGAGGCCAAACCAAGAGUAGUAAUACUUUUGGGGUUCGGACUGAGCACGGUAUUGACAAAGGUUAGUGGAAUGAAAUGGGAAGUUCAACCAUAGAGCGUGAGAGUCGCGUAUACGAAAACUUGAGUCAGCCAUCAGUAUCCAGAGUACCGCCGGACACGUGAAACCCGGUGGGAAUACGGGGGGACCACCCUCCAAGCCUAAAUACUCACCAAUGACCGAUAGUGUAUAGUACUGUGAAGGAAAGGUGAAAAGAACCCCUGGCGGGGAGUGAAAAAGAACCUGAAACCUUGUGCCUACAAGCACAUAGAGCACAUCAACGUGUGAUAUGGUACCUUUUGUAGAAUGGUCCGGCGAGUGAAUGUCACUAGCGAGGUUAAGGACUUAAGGUCUGCAGCCGAAGCGAAAGCGAGUCUUAAUAGGGCGCUAAUAGUUAGUGGUAUUCGACCCGAAACCGAGUGACCUAGCCAUGAGCAGGCUGAAGUGGAGGUAAAACUCCAUGGAGGGCCGAACCCACUCCCGUUGAAAUGGUAGGGGAUGACUUGUGGCUAGCGGAGAAAUUCCAAUCGAACUCGGAGAUAGCUGGUUCUCUCCGAAAUAGCUUUAGGGCUAGCCUCAAAUAACAUUACCGCAGGUAAAGCACUGAAUGGGCUAGGGGGCGAAAGCUUACUGAACCCUAUCAAACUAAGAAUGGCGGAUAAUGAAUAUUUGGGAGUCACACUACGUGAGAUAAGUUUCGUGGUGGAAAGGGAAACAGCCCAGACCCACAGCUAAGGUCCCAAAGUACAGUUAAGUGGAAAAGGAUGUGAAGUUGCGCAGACAACCAGGAUGUUGGCUCAGAAGCAGCCACUCAUUCAAAGAGUGCGUAAUAGCUCACUGGUCGAGUGAUUUUGCGCCGAAAAUUUAACGGGGCUAAACUGUACACCGAAGCUUGGGAAUAUACCUCUGGUAUGUUGGUAGGAGAGCGUCGUAUGCGGGGUGAAGUCGUAGCGAAAGCGGCGGUGGACUGCAUAGGAGUGAGAAUGCCGGAAUGAGUAGCGAGAAUUAUGUGAGAAUCAUAAUGGCCGAAAGACUAAGGUUUUAGAAGGAAGGUUCGUCCGCUUCUAGUUAGCCGGGAGCUAAGGCGAGGCCGAAAGGCGUAGUCGAUGCACAUACGGUUGAGAUUCCGUAGCCACCUUAAAUUUAAACUAAGGGACACAUUGAAAGGGAAUAACCCAGGCGUUGGUUGACCUGGGCGUAAGGGAACGAAAAUAAGUAGUGAAGUAUUCUUGGACAGUGGCGAGAAAAGCUUAGUGUAUAUUAUUAGGGUGCCCGUACUGCAAACCGACACAGGUAGUCAGGAAGAGAAUUCUAAGGCCAUCGGGAGAAGCGUUGUUAAGGAACUCGGCAAAUUGACCCCGUAACUUCGGAAUAAGGGGUGCUCACGCGAGUGAGCCGCAGUGAAUAGGUCCAGGCAACUGUUUAUCAAAAACACAGCUCUCUGCUAAAUCGUAAGAUGACGUAUAGGGGGUGACACCUGCCCGGUGCUGGAAGGUUAAGAGGAGGAGUGCAAGCCCCGAAUCGAAGCCCCAGUAAACGGCGGCCGUAACUAUAACGGUCCUAAGGUAGCGAAAUUCCUUGUCGGGUAAGUUCCG
RNAcentral lists this ribosomal RNA (1893 nucleotides) under human gut metagenome. RNAcentral's name for it is "bacterial LSU rRNA". It matches the Rfam family "Bacterial large subunit ribosomal RNA", at positions 3 to 1985 of the family's 2925-position model. The record is from RNAcentral.